Oryza brachyantha (malo sina) is the source of this 96-nucleotide non-coding RNA. Lineage: Eukaryota; Viridiplantae; Streptophyta; Magnoliopsida; Poales; Poaceae. The record is from Rfam.
UGGCUGUGACGACCGAAGACUGUUGUUUCUCGAUCCUGACUUGAUUCAAUCAAUCAAGGACCAACCUUUGAUGACCUUUGUGCGUGUCUGAGCCCG